Molecule: small nucleolar RNA, 66 nt
Organism: Morone saxatilis (striped sea-bass)
Lineage: Eukaryota; Metazoa; Chordata; Actinopteri; Moronidae
Product: small nucleolar RNA SNORD58
Exons: 1
Source: RefSeq, a predicted model, not a curated record
CUGCGGUGAUGACCACUUAGGACACCUUUGGAUUGAACCAUGAAAACAAACUGAACUCUGAGCAGC